Rosa chinensis is the source of this 1259-nucleotide long non-coding RNA. RefSeq lists it as uncharacterized. The transcript has 4 exons. NCBI's taxonomy places the organism in Eukaryota, Viridiplantae, Streptophyta, Magnoliopsida, Rosales, Rosaceae. The record is from RefSeq and is a predicted model, not a curated record.
CUGGGGGUAUCUCAUACCGGGCAUUUUGUGAAUAUUUGUGACCGUUGGAUCGGUAAUAUAUCCAAGGGUCAUGGAUAUUCGAAACAAGCUGACCUAUUCAGAAGGUAUCCCGUUUCGCCGUCACUCUCAGUUCGUCACCGUGCCUCCAGCGUCGGGCCUCCCUGCGCGGUGCUCCUCCGCUUCGCUGUGCUACCACGACUCUCUCUCUCUCUCUGCGCUACUCUGCCUCAGUCUCCCUCUGUUCCACCGCGCCCCUCCACUCCACUGCUCCUCCAGUCCUCUUCAACCUCUCUCCUUGACCGUCGAGGCGUCGACAGCCCUUUCUAUACCUGACGGUGACGGACUAACGGUGUUGAAUAGCCUUGAAGUCUCCAACUUGGUUGCUUUUUUCCUCAAUCAGCAAAGCAGAAAGCCAGAAACUGUUGUUUACACUCUGGGUUCGAUUUCUGGGUUUUCACUUACAUUCUGGGUUUCACUCUUCAAGCUUGGUUAGUUGGUGAAAUCAAGCUUGUUUUGGAUGGUAACUGAACUGCAAACAGUUUGGUAAUUUGGUUGGGAAUUCAAAUUGGAUGGGAAUUGCAAUCAGAGUGUUCGAAUGAUAAUCUGAAUCCUGAAACAAGUCCUGUACAUGGGGAAGCUCCAGUGUUGCUUCAAUCUAGAGAAAAUGAAGAUAUGAUCGUAAAAGUUAUUUGGGAGUAGUGCUACUAAUUUUGUUGGAUUUGGAGCUGUGCAGGUCAACUUGGUGCGUGAUGCUAGUGUUCAAAAGGAAAUUUCUAACUCUGUUGGGAAACAAGCUCUUGUUCUUUCUAUUGUGGAGUGCAAGGGGCUCGAGUUCCAGGUGGUUACAAUGUCUAUCAUUUAGUUUGUUUACACUUAUCAUGCAAAAGCCGUUGAUGAUAUAUGGAUUCGUUGUUGUCCUAGGAUGUACUUUUGUUAAGUAUUUUGGGUCAUCACCCUUAAUAAAUGAAUGGAGGCUGAUAUAUAAUUACAUGAACAUGAUUUGCUAAUAAGACUUGGUGUGAGAUGCAGCAAGUGAAGUCAGAGAGAGGAAAUCAUUUUCUGAAUUUGGAGAAUUCUGUUUCAGUCCCAAGGAAGAUAACCUAGUAUGUAAUUGAUCGAAAAAAUUGAAUUGCCAAGGACCGGUUACGAGCAUAUUUAUUUUAUGUUCUAUUUAGGAUAUCGAGUUGACCAAUAAAUCGAGACCCAACCGAAGGCAGAAAUUGCUGAAAUUUCUACCACUACCAUAUAUUCGUAUGCGG